GAUGAACGCUGGCGGCGUGCCUAAUACAUGCAAGUCGAGCGAACGGACGAGAAGCUUGCUUCUCUGAUGUUAGCGGCGGACGGGUGAGUAACACGUGGAUAACCUACCUAUAAGACUGGGAUAACUUCGGGAAACCGGAGCUAAUACCGGAUAAUAUUUUGAACCGCAUGGUUCAAAAGUGAAAGACGGUCUUGCUGUCACUUAUAGAUGGAUCCGCGCUGCAUUAGCUAGUUGGUAAGGUAACGGCUUACCAAGGCAACGAUGCAUAGCCGACCUGAGAGGGUGAGCGGCCACACUGGAACUGAGACACGGUCCAGACUCCUACGGGAGGCAGCAGUAGGGAAUCUUCCGCAAUGGGCGAAAGCCUGACGGAGCAACGCCGCGUGAGUGAUGAAGGGCUUCGGAUCGUAAAACUCUGUUAUUAGUGAAGAACAUAUGUGUAAGUAACUGUGCACAUCUUGACGGUACCUAAUCAGAAAGCCACGGCUAACUACGUG
Molecule: ribosomal RNA, 497 nt
Filed under: uncultured bacterium
Lineage: Bacteria
Description: partial 16S ribosomal RNA
Rfam family: Bacterial small subunit ribosomal RNA
Source: RNAcentral